Molecule: non-coding RNA, 75 nt
Organism: Brachypodium distachyon (stiff brome)
Lineage: Eukaryota; Viridiplantae; Streptophyta; Magnoliopsida; Poales; Poaceae
Source: Rfam
UUCUGCAUGACGAAGAAAAUCAAUCGGAUUCCCACUGAUUCUUCAUGAUUUGAACUACAGCUACUUCUGACAGAU